Molecule: ribosomal RNA, 520 nt
Filed under: uncultured Ambispora
Lineage: Eukaryota; Fungi; Glomeromycota; Glomeromycetes; Archaeosporales; Ambisporaceae
Description: SSU rRNA
Rfam family: Eukaryotic small subunit ribosomal RNA
Source: RNAcentral
AGCAGCCGCGGUAAUUCCAGCUCCAAUAGCGUAUAUUAAAGUUGUUGCAGUUAAAAAGCUCGUAGUUGAAUUUUGGGUCUGGCCGGGCGGUCCGCCCUCCGGGUGAGCACUGUUCCGACGCCGGGCCUAUCCUUCUGGUGAGCCGGCAUGUCCUUUGUUGGGUGUGUCGGGGAACCAGGACCAUUACCUUGAAAAAAUUAGAGUGUUCAAAGCAGGCGCAUGCUCGGAUACAUUAGCAUGGAAUAAUGAAAUAGGACGCGUGGGGCUAUUUUGUUGGUUUCUAGAACCGCCGUAAUGAUUAAUAGGGAUAGUUGGGGGCAUUAGUAUUCAAUUGUCAGAGGUGAAAUUCUUGGAUUUAUUGAAGACUAACUUCUGCGAAAGCAUUUGCCAAGGAUGUUUUCAUUAAUCAAGAACGAAAGUUAGGGGAUCGAAGACGAUCAGAUACCGUCGUAGUCUUAACCAUAAACUAUGCCGACUAGGAAUCGGGCGAUGUUAUUCUCAUGACUCGCCCGGCGCCUUA